GUCAGAUAUACUUCUUGGCUGUUUGAAUUUGCUUUAAUUGUUGGUUUUUCUUCUAUACAUCUCACAUCUCUCAGGAUUUUCUGCUGUAGAUUGAAAGUGUAUCUGGAGCGUUGGUUAUGUGCUGGGUUAACUCACAGUCAGGAAGAAUUUUAGGAUGGGUUGAAUGGGCCAUUCAAUAAGAGGUAAUUUCUUAAGAAUUUUAGGAUGGGUUGAAUGGGCCAAGGAGUGAGCCUGUCUUUGGAUGAUGAAAACCGAAAUUGAUAUUGUUUUGUGAAUUAUAGUUGAAUGUAUAUGUCCACAUAGGUACUUGGGUACCUUGGAGAUUAUCAUCUUUGAACAGCUCUAUACAUUCCAACUUGUGUGAAGAAAAAGAAGAAGAAGAAGAAGAAGUAGGUAUGUAUGUGUACGGACCCAGUACUGAUUCGAUAAAUACCCCCAUCAGUUGUGUUUUUAGUCAUAUAAUAAUUCUAAUAGAAAGAAGAAAUUAUGGCAAAACUGGUGGAAACGGUGUAGGAUUACAGAGACCUUUCCAUAGUACACAUGACAGGGGUGACGUGCCAAUUCAGUUUGUUCAUUUAAUUGCCCCUGUUGUUGAUGAAACAUGAUUAAAAAUAUAUAAAUUGGAUGAUCCUAGCCAUCUAAUUGGCAGAUUCCAAACCAAAAGUCCGAAGAAAUUUAGGCUAGGUUUACAUAACCAAAAAAUAAAUAAAUAAA
Molecule: long non-coding RNA, 714 nt
Organism: Magnolia sinica
Lineage: Eukaryota; Viridiplantae; Streptophyta; Magnoliopsida; Magnoliales; Magnoliaceae
Exons: 2
Source: RefSeq, a predicted model, not a curated record